Molecule: ribosomal RNA, 1477 nt
Filed under: Klebsiella pneumoniae
Lineage: Bacteria; Pseudomonadati; Pseudomonadota; Gammaproteobacteria; Enterobacterales; Enterobacteriaceae
Description: bacterial SSU rRNA
Rfam family: Bacterial small subunit ribosomal RNA
Source: RNAcentral
GGCUCAGAUUGAACGCUGGCGGCAGGCCUAACACAUGCAAGUCGAGCGGUAGCACAGAGAGCUUGCUCUCGGGUGACGAGCGGCGGACGGGUGAGUAAUGUCUGGGAAACUGCCUGAUGGAGGGGGAUAACUACUGGAAACGGUAGCUAAUACCGCAUAAUGUCGCAAGACCAAAGUGGGGGACCUUCGGGCCUCAUGCCAUCAGAUGUGCCCAGAUGGGAUUAGCUAGUAGGUGGGGUAACGGCUCACCUAGGCGACGAUCCCUAGCUGGUCUGAGAGGAUGACCAGCCACACUGGAACUGAGACACGGUCCAGACUCCUACGGGAGGCAGCAGUGGGGAAUAUUGCACAAUGGGCGCAAGCCUGAUGCAGCCAUGCCGCGUGUGUGAAGAAGGCCUUCGGGUUGUAAAGCACUUUCAGCGGGGAGGAAGGCGAUAAGGUUAAUAACCUUGUCGAUUGACGUUACCCGCAGAAGAAGCACCGGCUAACUCCGUGCCAGCAGCCGCGGUAAUACGGAGGGUGCAAGCGUUAAUCGGAAUUACUGGGCGUAAAGCGCACGCAGGCGGUCUGUCAAGUCGGAUGUGAAAUCCCCGGGCUCAACCUGGGAACUGCAUUCGAAACUGGCAGGCUAGAGUCUUGUAGAGGGGGGUAGAAUUCCAGGUGUAGCGGUGAAAUGCGUAGAGAUCUGGAGGAAUACCGGUGGCGAAGGCGGCCCCCUGGACAAAGACUGACGCUCAGGUGCGAAAGCGUGGGGAGCAAACAGGAUUAGAUACCCUGGUAGUCCACGCCGUAAACGAUGUCGAUUUGGAGGUUGUGCCCUUGAGGCGUGGCUUCCGGAGCUAACGCGUUAAAUCGACCGCCUGGGGAGUACGGCCGCAAGGUUAAAACUCAAAUGAAUUGACGGGGGCCCGCACAAGCGGUGGAGCAUGUGGUUUAAUUCGAUGCAACGCGAAGAACCUUACCUGGUCUUGACAUCCACAGAACUUAGCAGAGAUGCUUUGGUGCCUUCGGGAACUGUGAGACAGGUGCUGCAUGGCUGUCGUCAGCUCGUGUUGUGAAAUGUUGGGUUAAGUCCCGCAACGAGCGCAACCCUUAUCCUUUGUUGCCAGCGGUUAGGCCGGGAACUCAAAGGAGACUGCCAGUGAUAAACUGGAGGAAGGUGGGGAUGACGUCAAGUCAUCAUGGCCCUUACGACCAGGGCUACACACGUGCUACAAUGGCAUAUACAAAGAGAAGCGACCUCGCGAGAGCAAGCGGACCUCAUAAAGUAUGUCGUAGUCCGGAUUGGAGUCUGCAACUCGACUCCAUGAAGUCGGAAUCGCUAGUAAUCGUAGAUCAGAAUGCUACGGUGAAUACGUUCCCGGGCCUUGUACACACCGCCCGUCACACCAUGGGAGUGGGUUGCAAAAGAAGUAGGUAGCUUAACCUUCGGGAGGGCGCUUACCACUUUGUGAUUCAUGACUGGGGUGAAGUCGUA